GGGGGGGGGGGGGGGGGGGCCGGGGGGGGGGGGGUGGGGCGCUGGGGGGGGGGCUGGCGUGGCUGGGUGAGUUGCGGACGGGGGAGUAGCGCGUAGGUACCCUGCCUGGUAGCGGGGGCUAACUAUUGGCAACGCUAGCUCAUACCGCGUAGUAGGCGUUGUUGCAUGCCCCCUGUUUGAACGUUCCCAUUGCACCCCUCCCAGCUGGCACUGCGUUUUAUUAGCUAGUGGGUGGGGUAACCGCUCCACAAGGCGACGAUACCUAGCCGACCUGAGGGGGUGAUCGGCCAAACUGGGACUGAGACACGGCCCAGACUCCUACGGGAGGCAGCAGUAGGGAAUCUUCGGCAAUGGACGGAAGGCUGACCGAGCAACGCCGCGUGAGUGAAGAAGGUUUUCGGAUCGUAAAGCUCUGUUGUAAGAGAAGAACGAGUGUGAGAGUGGAAAGUUCACACUGUGACGGUAUCUUACCAGAAAGAGACGGCUAACUACGUG
This 495-nucleotide ribosomal RNA is filed under the name uncultured bacterium. Its description in RNAcentral is "partial 16S ribosomal RNA". It matches the Rfam family "Bacterial small subunit ribosomal RNA", at positions 27 to 507 of the family's 1533-position model. The record is from RNAcentral.